UUUCAGAAAGGACCAGUUUAUUCCCCCUGUUUUGCAUGUCAUGUGUCAUUCCCCAUGUCCCCUUCUGUCUCUUCCUAGAUAAAAGCCCCUAGGUAGUUCUGUUCUUUAAUUCAGGAACUGUGGUAUGACCCAGGCAGCAUGCUCCAGUCCUGAAUGUCACUGACCCCAUCUAAGUCACUUCCUGUCUCUGCCUCAGGGAGGGAAUAGG
RNAcentral lists this long non-coding RNA (208 nucleotides) under Bos taurus (domestic cattle). RNAcentral's name for it is "long non-coding RNA NONBTAT018144". Lineage: Eukaryota; Metazoa; Chordata; Mammalia; Artiodactyla; Bovidae. The record is from RNAcentral.